GGGGAAGCCUACAGGNCAGUCGAGCGAGCUUGCCUAGAUGAUUUUAGUGCUUGCACUAAAUGAAACUAGAUACAAGCGAGCGGCGGACGGGUGAGUAACGCGUGGGUAACCUGCCUCAUACAGGGGGAUAACAGUUAGAAAUGACUGCUAAUACCGCAUAAGCGCACAGGACCGCAUGGUCAAGUGUGAAAAACUCCGGUGGUAUGAGAUGGACCCGCGUCUGAUUAGCUGGUUGGUGAGGUAACGGCCCACCAAGGCGACGAUCAGUAGCCGACCUGAGAGGGUGGCCGGCCACAUUGGGACUGAGACACGGCCCAAACUCCUACGGGAGGCAGCAGUGGGGAAUAUUGCACAAUGGGGGAAACCCUGAUGCAGCAACGCCGCGUGAGUGAAGAAGUAUUUCGGUAUGUAAAGCUCUAUCAGCAGGGAAGAAGAAAGACGGUACCUGACUAAGAAGCCCCGGCUAACUACGUGCCAGCAGCCGCGGUAAUACGUAGGGGGCAAGCGUUAUCCGGAUUUACUGGGUGUAAAGGGAGCGUAGACGGCAUAGCAAGUCUGAAGUGAAAGCCCGUGGCUCAACCGCGGAACUGCUUUGGAAACUGUUAAGCUGGAGUACUGGAGAGGCAAGCGGAAUUCCUAGUGUAGCGGUGAAAUGCGUAGAUAUUAGGAGGAACACCAGUGGCGAAGGCGGCUUGCUGGACAGAGACUGACGUUGAGGCUCGANAGCGUGCGGAGCAAAUAGGAUUAGAU
Molecule: ribosomal RNA, 750 nt
Filed under: uncultured bacterium
Lineage: Bacteria
Description: bacterial SSU rRNA
Rfam family: Bacterial small subunit ribosomal RNA
Source: RNAcentral